UGUGUAGGUGGCGCCGUAAGUCGGGUGUGAAAUUUCGGAGCUUAACUCCGAAACUGCAUUCGAUACUGCGGUGCUUGAGGACUGGAGAGGAGACUGGAAUUCAUGGUGUAGCAGUGAAAUGCGUAGAGAUCAUGAGGAAGACCAGUGGCGAAGGCGGGUCUCUGGACAGUUCCUGACACUGAGACACGAAGGCCAGGGGAGCAAACG
RNAcentral lists this ribosomal RNA (207 nucleotides) under uncultured bacterium. RNAcentral describes it as "partial 16S ribosomal RNA". It matches the Rfam family "Bacterial small subunit ribosomal RNA", at positions 568 to 774 of the family's 1533-position model. The record is from RNAcentral.